GAUGAACGCUGGCGGCGUGCCUAAUACAUGCAAGUCGAGCGAACGGACGAGAAGCUUGCUUUUCUGAUGUUAGCGGCGGACGGGUGAGUAACACGUGGAUAACCUACCUAUAAGACUGGGAUAACUUCGGGAAACCGGAGCUAAUACCGGAUAAUAUUUUGAACCGCAUGGUUCAAAAGUGAAAGACGGUCUUGCUGUCACUUAUAGAUGGAUCCGCGCUGCAUUAGCUAGUUGGUAAGGUAACGGCUUACCAAGGCAACGAUGCAUAGCCGACCUGAGAGGGUGAUCGGCCACACUGGAACUGAGACACGGUCCAGACUCCUACGGGAGGCAGCAGUAGGGAAUCUUCCGCAAUGGGCGAAAGCCUGACGGAGCAACGCCGCGUGAGUGAUGAAGGUCUUCGGAUCGUAAAACUCUGUUAUUAGGGAAGAACAUAUGUGUAAGUAACUGUGCACAUCUUGACGGUACCUAAGCAGAAAGCCACGGCUAACAACGU
RNAcentral lists this ribosomal RNA (496 nucleotides) under uncultured bacterium. Its description in RNAcentral is "partial 16S ribosomal RNA". It matches the Rfam family "Bacterial small subunit ribosomal RNA", at positions 28 to 506 of the family's 1533-position model. The record is from RNAcentral.